Molecule: ribosomal RNA, 452 nt
Filed under: uncultured bacterium
Lineage: Bacteria
Description: bacterial SSU rRNA
Rfam family: Bacterial small subunit ribosomal RNA
Source: RNAcentral
AACGAACGCUGGCGGCAGGCCUAACACAUGCAAGUCGAACGCCGUAGCAAUACGGAGUGGCAGACGGGUGCGUAACGCGUGGGAACAUACCCUUUGGUUCGGAAUAACUCAGGGAAACUUGAGCUAAUACCGGAUAAGCCCUUACGGGGAAAGAUUUAUCGCCAAUGGAUUGGCCCGCGUCUGAUUAGCUAGUUGGUGAGGUAAUGGCUCACCAAGGCGACGAUCAGUAGCUGGUCUGAGAGGAUGAUCAGCCACACUGGGACUGAGACACGGCCCAGACUCCUACGGGAGGCAGCAGUGGGGAAUAUUGGACAAUGGGCGCAAGCCUGAUCCAGCCAUGCCGCGUGAGUGAUGAAGGCCUUAGGGUUGUAAAGCUCUUUUACCCGGGAAGAUAAUGACUGUACCGGGAGAAUAAGCCCCGGCUAACUUCGUGCCAGCCGCCGCAGUAACAC